GACGAACGCUGGCGGCGUGCUUAACACAUGCAAGUCGAACGAAGAGCGAUGGAAGCUUGCUUCUAUCAAUCUUAGUGGCGAACGGGUGAGUAACGCGUAAUCAACCUGCCCUUCAGGGGGGGACAACAGUUGGAAACGACUGCUAAUACCGCAUACGAUCUAAUCUCGGCAUCGAGGAUAGAUGAAAGGUGGCCUCUACAUGUAAGCUAUCACUGAAGGAGGGGAUUGCGUCUGAUUAGCUAGUUGGAGGGGUAACGGCCCACCAAGGCGAUGAUCAGUAGCCGGUCUGAGAGGAUGCACGGCCACAUUGGGACUGAGACACGGCCCAGACUCCUACGGGAGGCAGCAGUGGGGAAUCUUCCGCAAUGGACGAAAGUCUGACGGAGCAACGCCGCGUGAGUGAUGACGGCCUUCGGGUUGUAAAGCUCUGUUAAUCGGGACGAAAGGCCUUCUUGCGAAUAGUGAGAAGGAUUGACGGUACCGGAAUAGAAAGCCACGGCUAACUACGUG
Molecule: ribosomal RNA, 510 nt
Filed under: uncultured bacterium
Lineage: Bacteria
Description: partial 16S ribosomal RNA
Rfam family: Bacterial small subunit ribosomal RNA
Source: RNAcentral